CCUACGGGAGGCAGCAGUAGGGAAUCUUCCACAAUGGACGCAAGUCUGAUGGAGCAACGCCGCGUGAGUGAAGAAGGGUUUCGGCUCGUAAAGCUCUGUUGUUGGUGAAGAAGGACAGGGGUAGUAACUGACCUUUGUUUGACGGUAAUCAAUUAGAAAGUCACGGCUAACUACGUGCCAGCAGCCGCGGUAAUACGUAGGUGGCAAGCGUUGUCCGGAUUUAUUGGGCGUAAAGCGAGUGCAGGCGGCUCGAUAAGUCUGAUGUGAAAGCCUUCGGCUCAACCGGAGAAUUGCAUCAGAAACUGUCGAGCUUGAGUACAGAAGAGGAGAGUGGAACUCCAUGUGUAGCGGUGAAAUGCGUAGAUAUAUGGAAGAACACCGGUGGCGAAGGCGGCUCUCUGGUCUGUUACUGACGCUGAGGCUCGAAAGCAAAGA
RNAcentral lists this ribosomal RNA (435 nucleotides) under Vibrio cholerae. Its description in RNAcentral is "bacterial SSU rRNA". It matches the Rfam family "Bacterial small subunit ribosomal RNA", at positions 338 to 765 of the family's 1533-position model. Lineage: Bacteria; Pseudomonadati; Pseudomonadota; Gammaproteobacteria; Vibrionales; Vibrionaceae. The record is from RNAcentral.